Molecule: ribosomal RNA, 484 nt
Filed under: uncultured bacterium
Lineage: Bacteria
Description: partial 16S ribosomal RNA
Rfam family: Bacterial small subunit ribosomal RNA
Source: RNAcentral
AUUGAACGCUGGCGGCAGGCCUAACACAUGCAAGUCGAGCGGAUGAAGGGAGCUUGCUCCUGGAUUCAGCGGCGGACGGGUGAGUAAUGCCUAGGAAUCUGCCCGGUAGUGGGGGAUAACGUCCGGAAACGGGCGCUAAUACCGCAUACGUCCUGAGGGAGAAAGUGGGGGAUCUUCGGACCUCACGCUAUCAGAUGAGCCUAGGCCGGAUUAGCUAGUUGGUGGGGUAAAGGCCUACCAAGGCGACGAUCCGUAACUGGUCUGAGAGGAUGAUCAGUCACACUGGAACUGAGACACGGUCCAGACUCCUACGGGAGGCAGCAGUGGGGAAUAUUGGACAAUGGGCGAAAGCCUGAUCCAGCCAUGCCGCGUGUGUGAAGAAGGUCUUCGGAUUGUAAAGCACUUUAAGUUGGGAGGAAGGGCAGUAAGUUAAUACCUUGCUGUUUUGACGUUACCAACAGAAUAAGCACCGGCUAACUUCGUG